This is a long non-coding RNA of Topomyia yanbarensis, 1132 nucleotides long. RefSeq lists it as uncharacterized. Lineage: Eukaryota; Metazoa; Arthropoda; Insecta; Diptera; Culicidae. The record is from RefSeq and is a predicted model, not a curated record. The transcript has 4 exons.
AACGUUACGUAAAUGAGAUAUAUUGCCACGAAUUGGACUUGAAUGUGUGAUUAGCGCUGAUUCAUUUGAUGUUGCUUUUUAGCCAAUUUACGUGACGUAUAAUCUUGGAAUGCCAAUAGUGCUGCUAUGGAAGAAGCUAUAGCGCGUCAAAUUCACAAAUUCUAAGAAGCAUUGAAAGUAAUAGUUAUGGUUUAGCGCGAGAAUAUAAAUAAAUGAAAUGGAUCGCUAUUCUACAUAGCCAAUACUCAAUACAAUAAAUAAAAAGAGAAAAUUUACUGACCAUUGACUUAGGAUUAAUGCUACUGAUGACUCGGAGCAGCCUCAGGAAGCCAACCACUGCAACGUACAAAAGCCGAGCGACAUACGAAAAUGUGACACAGCUGGAGGAUAAAUCAACCUCCGUUGCUGAACCCAGUACGGUUACUCACCGAGCAGCUCAAUAUAUGUACUGGCACUCUAAAACGGUUUGAGAAUUGCUAAAUUCUAGAGAAUAAUCUAGAUGAAUGCAUGCAUAAAAAUUUGGUUUUGCUGACAAACGAUUUUGAAUGAGCUGCAUAAGAGAGAUGAUAUUAAAGCACUACAAGCAAGCAGUUUCCCGAACAAGGAACACCCGAUGGUGUUGUCGAUAUAGAGACUUCACUUCAAACUGUUGGAAUCAAGUUUUCAAGGAUGCACAGUUAACCAACUGAUAGAGGGUAUUAACACGCUACGGGCCUAUUUCUCCACAUCGAAGCUGUAGAAAUUCACUCAUAGCUCGCCCGGUCAUAGAGAGUGCCGAAGAUAUUGGUCGUAGUUCGCCCCGGUAACGGGAGAAGAGUUUCGCCGCUGAUAUGCCACAAACAAGCGGUUUCGUCGAACUGGAGGAAGGCCACCGGAUGCGCCAAUAUACCACUGACUGAUCGAUAAAAAAAUAACUGAGUGUGCUGAGACCACAUAUUGUUUUUCGGAGAGUAGAAGGAGAAUGAUGAAAAAUGACGUGUUCUGUUCGUCUCUAGUACUUACAUCAAUAUCGGUUUUUAUCAGCAUUUGAAGAUUUUUUGUAAUAUCAAUUAUAACAAUAAAAAUUACCAUCCAGUGGGAUUGAACUGCGAGAUAAAUAAACGAAGUCAUAUUAGUGGCUAUUUAUGGUGAA